GUAGAGAUGGCUCAGCGGUUAAGAGCACUGGUUGCUCUUCCAGAGGACCUAGGUUGAAUUCCUAGCACCCACA
RNAcentral lists this transfer RNA (73 nucleotides) under Neotoma lepida (desert woodrat). It matches the Rfam family "tRNA". Rfam says of the family: Transfer RNA (tRNA) molecules are approximately 80 nucleotides in length. Their secondary structure includes four short double-helical elements and three loops (D, anti-codon, and T loops). The record is from Rfam by way of RNAcentral. Lineage: Eukaryota; Metazoa; Chordata; Mammalia; Rodentia; Cricetidae.